This 86-nucleotide non-coding RNA is filed under the name Desulfovibrio sp. Lineage: Bacteria; Pseudomonadati; Thermodesulfobacteriota; Desulfovibrionia; Desulfovibrionales; Desulfovibrionaceae. The record is from RNAcentral.
AGGCGAAACGCGGCACUGGCGCUUUUGUCGUCCAGUGCCUGCGUCGUCGUGGUGUCGGUUUCCACGGCCUGAUGAGCCAGCCGCUC